UACGUAGGGGGCAAGCGUUGUCCGGAAUCAUUGGGCGUAAAGAGCGCGUAGGCGGUCCGGUAAGUCCGCUCUGAAAGUCCGGGGCUCAACCCCGGGAGGCGGGCGGAUACUGUCGGGCUAGAGUCCGGAAGAGGCGAGUGGAAUUCCUGGUGUAGCGGUGAAAUGCGCAGAUAUCAGGAGGAACACCAAUGGCGAAGGCAGCUCGCUGGGACGGUACUGACGCUGAGGUGCGAAAGCGUGGGGAGCAAACAGG
This 253-nucleotide ribosomal RNA is filed under the name uncultured bacterium. RNAcentral describes it as "partial 16S ribosomal RNA". It matches the Rfam family "Bacterial small subunit ribosomal RNA", at positions 524 to 776 of the family's 1533-position model. The record is from RNAcentral.